Nicotiana tabacum (common tobacco) is the source of this 2973-nucleotide non-coding RNA. The record is from RefSeq and is a predicted model, not a curated record. NCBI's taxonomy places the organism in Eukaryota, Viridiplantae, Streptophyta, Magnoliopsida, Solanales, Solanaceae.
GUUUUAAGUAGUAAAGAAACUCUCUGUAUCACAAGUCGUCAGCUCUGCCCUAGUAUUCCGCCAAGCUCUGCCCGUCUCCUUUAUCCGUGUUUUCUCAAAACGCAAGUUCUGAAUCUGGUUGUGUGUGAAUCUGCCCAAGUUUCCAUAUCGCUCGUUUGAGAAUCCGUGCGGAGCAAGCAUCUCAAGUAUUUUAUGCUAGUGAAAAUUCCAACAAAGGUUGGCAUGUAGUGAGGAAGACUCAACCUCAUGAUUCCUAUGAGAUUGUGAAACAAAUGGAUGAUGAUAUUGUAGACUUGGGAAAUCCUUCACUAAAGAAACAAAAAAGAAAUGAUGAGGUUCAAUAUGAAACCAUCAAUGAUUGAAAAUGAGGUGGGAUAGACUAUGAAGACUACUGCCAAUUCUGCAUUCGUCGCACCAGGUGCUAUAAGAAAAGGACAAGGAAGAGGAUGGGAACUUAGAUCUUUGGUUGAGAAAGAGAAUAUACCAACUAAGAGUUUAUUUUCUCAAUCUAGUGAUCUAGUUAAGCAAUACAUCCAAACAAUUGAAACAUGUGCUAUACGGAAGGGACGAGGACAAGGGCUUAAAAACUCUACCAUGUCUGCUAGUCAAGGAAUGAUACAUAAAAACUCCAUCGAUCGUGAGAAAGAGUAUAUGCAAAUUGAUAUUCCAUUGCCUUCAUCUAUUGAUCAAGUUAAGCAAUACACCCAAAAAUCGAAACAAGUUCAUCUAAUCCUGGAAAGGUAAAAAGAGUUCGAGGUAGGAACAAGUGCAAAUAAGUUGCAUCACUUGAAGUCGGACAAAAGCUGAAUGUAAUCUUUUACAACAAUCGAACGGUUGGAACAAAUAGCAAACUAUUUUCGAGGCACUUGGGUAGAAUAGUACGUGACCGCAAUAUGUGUCCGUUGCAGUAUCAUCGUGGAAUGAUAUUAAGCAAGAAAAUUUGAAUCACAUGUGGGCAGCUAUUGAGGAUAAAUUUGAGAGUGUUGACAUGAAUGAUCAUCGCGAUCAUAUCUUGGGAUGGAUGAAAGAGCUAUGGAAUAAAUAAAGAGGACACUUGCAUGCAAAAUAUGUGAAUGAUAAGCCAAUCCAACAUGUUCUUAAGAAUAUUCCAAUGGGCGUAGACAAGAAAGAAUGGGAGUGGGCAGAAAAGAUGGCAAUCCACCGAUUUGGCAACAAUUAUCUUUGAAACUCGUAAGAAAAAUAACAAGCUUGCUGAACCUGAAGCAAUUGAAAAACAUGCUUUGAUUGAAGAAAUUGUUCAGUUGGAUCCAUCUCUACCUAGCAUAAAGAUAGUAGAAAAAUAUUGUGGACCUCAAACUCGUAGCCAUGUAUCUGGCUUUGGGGGUAGAGUAAAGGCGAAAGACUUGAAAUGUGGCAUUUCUUAAAACGCUGAAUUACUGUCCGCACUACGUUCAACUAGAGAGGAAAACAAAUCUUUCAAUGAGGAAAACAAAUCCUUACAUGAUCGCUUGAGAAAGUGAAUAUGACAACUAAGAGUUUAUUUCCUCAAUCUAGUGAUCUAGUUAAGCAAUACAUCCAAACAAUUGAAACAUGUGCUAUAGGGAAGGGACGAGGACAAGGGCUUAAAAACUCUACCAUGUCUGCUAGUCAAGGAAUGAUACAUAAAAACCCCUUCGUUCUUGAGAAAGAGUAUAAUGCAAAUUGAUAUUCCAUUGCCUUCAUCUACUGAUCAAGUUCAGCAAUACACCCAAAUGUUGAAACAAGUGCUAUAGGGAAGGGACGGUAGCAAAUGCCUAGAUCAUGUUGCUCCUCUUUAGGGAUUUAUAAAAAUGAGGUGGGAUCUUUCCAUAAGAGUGUUGUUUUUGCUAACCAAUGUAUGCAAGCUCCUUCUAAAAGUACAAGAUCGAAUUUUACCAUAUCUUCUAAUCAAAAAACGCGUACAAUGGAUAAAAACUCCCUCGUUCUUGAGAAAGAGCAUAUGCAAGCCAAUAUUUUAUUGUCUCCAUCUACUAAUCAAGUUAUGCAACACUCCCAGACAGCUGAAACAGGUUCAUCUAAUCCUGGAAAGGUAAAAAGAGUUCGAGGUAGGAACAAGUGCAAAGAAGUUGCAUCACUUGAAGUCGGACAAAAGCUGAAAGUAACCUUUACAACAAUCGAACGGUUAGAACAAAUAGCAAACUAUUUUUGAGGCACUUGGGCAGAAUAGUACGUGACCACAAUAUGUGUCCGUUGGAGUAUCAUCGUGGAAUGAUAUUAAGCAAGAAAAGUUGAAUCACAUGUGGGCAGCUAUUGAGUUAACAAAUGUAGUGACUAGAUAAAUUUGAGAGUGUUGACAUGAAUGAUCAUCGCGAUCAUAUCUUGGGAUGGAUGAAAGAGCUAUGGAAUAAAUGGAGAGGACACUUACAUGCAAAAUAUGUGAAGGAUAAGCCAAUCUAACAUGGUCUUAAGAAUAUUCCAAAGGGUGUAGACAAGAAAGAAUGGGAGCGGUUAGUAAAGGAACAUUUUUCUUCAAAACAUUUUCAGGCUUAGAUUGAAGAAGUUGUUCGUCGGAUCCAUCUCUACCUAGCAUAGAGAUAGUAGAAAAAUAUUGUGGACCUCAAACUAGUAGCCAUGUAUUUGGCUUUGGGGGUGGAGUAAAGGUGAAAGACUUGAAAGGUGGCACUUCUUCAAAGGAUAAAUUACUGUCCGCGCUACGUUCAAACUCGAGAGGAAAACAAAUCUUUGAACGAGGAAAACAAAUCCCUACAUGAUCGCUUGUCUUCCUUAGAAAAUGAGAUGAAAGAAAUAAAGAAAAUAAGGUUUUGAAGAUUGAAGGUACAAGAAUGCAAGUUUGGAAGAUACACAAGCUCAUUAUUAUUUUGCUAGGAAUGUUAUGUAAAACUUGAUAUCGUUGUCUAACUCAUGAUGUUAGCUAAGUAUUUUUGUUAAGGUGUUGAGCAAAUAUUGAAACUAACAUGAUGGGAUGUUAACAUUGUAAUUAAUAUCUUUUUAUACCAAGAAUUUUUUGUAGCA